GCCCGGUGUGUGGGAUGAAUUGCAUCUCCAUUGGGGCCUGCCAUGCUGUCUGAUAAAGUGAGGAUUAUGAAACUCAGGAGGAGGAACGUAACAAUGGCUUCCUUUUCUUUAGGGGGAUAGAGGUCUGAAGGGAGAGAAAGGUGAACCAGGACUACCUGGGAAACCAGGCGAGACCGGACUAAGAGGUAAAGAUGGAGAACCAGGGGAGAAAGGCACCUCUGGGACCAAGGGAGAAGCUGGUGUCCCUGGAGAACCAGGAGAGAGAGGAAUCAGGGGGCCACCUGGACUCCCAGGACGGCCUGGAGAGCAAGGGAUAAAAGGCGAUACAGGACCACCUGGAAAGGAUGGAAUCACUGGAGAGAAGGGAGACAAGGGCGAAGCUGUAGGUUUGCACAUUCCCCUUUAUAACCUUGCAUGAGGGAAAGCCUGUUUGGGGGCUAAAAUGUUGAAUUGUGCCACUCACUAUUUCUUUUUUUUCUGGGGGGGUGGGGGUAUGGUGGUGUUUUAUCUUCACAGGGUGAGCCUGGGCUGCCUGGGACUCCUGGAAGCCUUGUGAGUAAUGCCUGGUUCUGUUGUCUUAUACAUUUGGGGAAGGGAUAUGCUGAGAUUUAUCAUGAAUCUCAUGAUAAAUUGU
RNAcentral lists this long non-coding RNA (634 nucleotides) under Calidris pugnax (ruff). RNAcentral describes it as "lncRNA (ENSCPUG00000015945.1)". Lineage: Eukaryota; Metazoa; Chordata; Aves; Charadriiformes; Scolopacidae. The record is from RNAcentral.